GCGGAAUGGAAGGUGUCCACGAUGGG
RNAcentral lists this non-coding RNA (26 nucleotides) under Bombyx mori (domestic silkworm). Lineage: Eukaryota; Metazoa; Arthropoda; Insecta; Lepidoptera; Bombycidae. The record is from RNAcentral.